Molecule: long non-coding RNA, 400 nt
Organism: Mercenaria mercenaria
Lineage: Eukaryota; Metazoa; Mollusca; Bivalvia; Venerida; Veneridae
Exons: 2
Source: RefSeq, a predicted model, not a curated record
GUGAAAUUAAAUUAUCUGCCAAUAAUACUCCGUUGUUUUUACUUGUGUGUUGUCAGACUUAUGACACGUAUGACGUUCCAUAGUUCCAAAACUUUCUUUUUCAGUCCAAGGGAAAUAAAUCAAUAACCUUCCAAUAUGAAUCCUAUAAAUGAACCUAUAUAAAACGUAUGCACGUGAUCACUAACAACCAAUCACUGCACUGGUCACUUUUUAAGUCAAAUUUCAAGAUGUCUGUUGCAUUUUAAGCCGCUCAUAUAUUUUGUGCAUUUUUGUAUAUCAACUGGAACUUAUAUAUUUCCAGGAUACUGAUACCGAUACCGAUACACAAGUAUCUCUGUUUAUCAUCUUUAUUAUCGUGAUCUUGAUAUAAGAAGGAAACAUUAAAUCAAUUAUUACAGUC